UACGUAGGGGGCGAGCGUUGUCCGGAAUGACUGGGCGUAAAGGGCUCGUAGGUGGUUUGUCACGUCGUCUGUGAAAUUCCGGGGCUUAACCUCGGGCGUGCAGGCGAUACGGGCAAUACUUGAGUGCUGUAGGGGAGACUGGAAUUCCUGGUGUAGCGGUGAAAUGCGCAGAUAUCAGGAGGAACACCAAUGGCGAAGGCAGGUCUCUGGGCAGUUACUGACGCCGAGGAGCGAAAGCAUGGGUAGCGAACAGGAUUAGAUACCCCGGUAGU
RNAcentral lists this ribosomal RNA (272 nucleotides) under uncultured prokaryote. RNAcentral describes it as "partial 16S ribosomal RNA". It matches the Rfam family "Bacterial small subunit ribosomal RNA", at positions 524 to 794 of the family's 1533-position model. The record is from RNAcentral.